CAAUUGACUUCUCCACUAUUGGUUACAACUUGUCGUCCUCACUUCAGAUUUACACUGGUGCUGAAUAUGGUUACAUAUAUGCAGGCCACCUUUCUUUGCCAUCUUUAGAUUUCUUACAGGUGUUUCAUAAUCUUAGAGUACUAAGUUUGAGUGGUGUGGAUCUUUCUAAGGCUACAAACUCAAACCAGUGGGCUAAUCCUUUAUCUUUUCUGUCCAAUCUCCAGCGUCUUCAGCUGUCGAAUUGCAGGAUUUCCGGAAAACUUCCUGCAAAGCAGCUUCUCAACCUCACCAAUCUCUCUGUACUGAUGAUGGACUUCAAUUUUUUCGCAUCCCCGAUUCCUGGACAAUUAGCCAAUCUCACUUCUCUUUCCAGGCUCUAUCUCACCAAGUCACAUCUACAGGGUCCAAUCCCUUAUCUUCCUCAACUGACAAAACUUGAUGUAGGAAACAACUCUGAGAUGAUCUUUGAUUUGCAUUCCAUGUUUGCAGCUCCUUGGCCUCGAUUAUUAGCUCUUGAUAUCUCAUCAACUCAAGUUAUUGGAUCAUUUCCAACUUCUUUUGCCAACACCACUACUUUGACUCUUCAAAGCUUCCAAUUGUUUCCUCCAGGGGCCAAUACCUCCUCCUCUGAUGAACCUCUCAAAGUUGGAAAUUUUAGCACUGGAUUUCAACAACAUAACAGACCAUCUUUGGUCGGAUAUUUCCAAAUUGAAAAACCUGAGGUUACUCAAUAUCAUGCAGAAUUCUUUGCAAGGAUCCAUUCCCAGUUCAAUCCGUAACAUAUCUUCCCUCCAGUAUCUUUCAUUGGCAGGAAACCAUUUCACAGGAAACUCAGGCUGCAUCAGUCAGCUUUCCAGGCUGAAGUAUCUUAUGCUCAGUUCCAACAACAUGAAUGGAAUGAUCGAGUCGUUUGCAUCGUUGAUCAAGAGCUCGAAUCUAGAAAUGAUAGCUUUAGGAUUCAGCGGGUUGACAGUGAAAGUAGACCAAAAUCCAUUUCCACCAAGCUUUCAACCCCAGUACCUGGACUUAAAUGCAUGUCUUUUGGGGGGAACUAUCCCGGAUUUCAUAUCGAAUCUGACCCAGGUUAGAUUCUUGACUUUAUCCCACAACAACUUGUCAGGAUCAAUUCCCUCUUGGCUAUUAAAACUACCAAAACUCGGUUACUUGGAUCUGUCUUCCAAUCAACUCCAAGGAGUUCUCCCACCCCACAUUGAGUUACACUCAUUUGAGUUACCAACAACACUGAAUUUAGCAAGCAAUCAACUUCGGGGAUCCAUUCCUCCCCUGCUUGAGAAUGUCGAAGCUGUAGAUUUUUCGGGGAACAAUUUCACAGGCUACAUACCAUUAGAGCUUGGAAUUGGGGAAGUUAAAUAUUUAUCACUCUCUGGAAACAAACUUCAUGGUCAGAUACCCUCAUCUUUCUGUCAUUCAAAUAAUAAGUUGAUGCUCCUUGAUCUUUCUAACAACAGUCUGGAAGGAACAGUUCCCACCAGUUUGGGAAAUUGCACUUCUCUCAUUUUUCUGAAACUUGGAGGGAACAACCUUGGUGGAGAAUUUCCUGAUGGCUUGGAGGGUGCAAAAAGUCUGAGUUUUCUUGACCUUACAGGAAGUCAUUUUGGAGGCCCUUUUCCAGGAUUCAUUCUGAAACUUCAGGAUUUGGGUGUUCUUAAGCUGGGGUAUAAUAGAUUCCAAGGAAAGAUACCUCCAUCCAUUGGAGACCUCCAAAACCUCCGAAUUCUCGUCCUGGAAUCUAAUUUCUUCAAUGGUUCAAUUCCUCCAGAGAUAAACAAGCUGGAAAAGCUACAAUAUGUAGACUUGUCCAGCAACAAGCUUUCAGGUUCCAUCCCUGAAAGACUAGAUGGUUUGAAGAUGAUGAGAACUCGACCUCAGGAUGGAAAUCUCCUCGGUUAUGUCAUCUCAUCCAUGUAUACAGGAGUAGAGCUAGACAUGGUGAGUAAUGGAUUGUUUCAAAAAUAUGAGGUCGUCCGGACGUAUCUCAAUGGCAUAGAUUUCUCUGCCAACUCUCUUACUGGGAACAUUCCUUCAGAAAUAGGCCUUCUAAAGGGACUCUAUAUGCUCAAUCUGUCACACAAUCAGCUCUUCGGUGAGAUCCCAAUCACCAUUAGCGAAAUGUCUGGUUUGGAGUCCCUGGACCUGAGUUUCAACAACCUGAGUGGGAAUAUUCCUACAGCAAUACAUUUCUGGACUAUCUCUCUGCUUUUAACUUAUCCUACAACAAUUUCAGUGGUAGAAUUCCAACAGGGCAACACUUUGACACAGUGAACAUAGAUGGAUCAGCGUAUACCGGAAAUGAGUUCUUGUGUGGAGUUGCCAUCAAUAUCAAAUGUCAUGACAAUGAUUCUUCAGGUUCAGAAACGACUGUUGAUGUUGAGGAUUCUAGGCAGGAGAUGUUUUAUGCGGCUGUAGUUGGCUAUGGAGCUGGCUCCGGUGGGUUUUUCACUGUUCUUUCUUUGUUGAAGGAAAACUGGAGGAAGAAAUACUGGAGGACUGUGGAUUUGAUAGCAAUGGCAAUAAUCCAACGUUUCAGAAAACAGGAAAAUACUAGAAAUCAAAUCAUUUGAAGCCGAGAAUCCAUCCAAGUAUUUUCAGUUGAACUUUUUCGGGGGCAUGCAGUCGGGCGUGCUACUUCACAAAAACUUUGGCACAACGCUAAAAAAGAAUACAUAAUCCAUAAUCAUUUGCAGCAAGAUAUACAUUUCGGUGGCAGCUGCACUUCCAUAUCAAUCUCGCUCACUUUCCAUUUACAAGAAUGGCAUCCUAUGGCGGAGGUCGUAAAGACACUGGAGCGAUAGCUCCUUGUAUUGCUAAAAAAUUUCUAAAGGUGUUCCAUUGUUCCACUUUUUAGUCUCUCCU
Pistacia vera is the source of this 2874-nucleotide RNA transcript. It is a transcript of the gene named LRR receptor-like serine/threonine-protein kinase FLS2, with no coding region annotated. The transcript has 2 exons. NCBI's taxonomy places the organism in Eukaryota, Viridiplantae, Streptophyta, Magnoliopsida, Sapindales, Anacardiaceae. The record is from RefSeq and is a predicted model, not a curated record.